GAUGAACGCUAGCGGCAGGCUUAAUACAUGCAAGUCGAACGGUAACAGAUCUUCGGAUGCUGACGAGUGGCGCACGGGUGAGGAACACGUACACAAUCUACCUUAUACAGGAGGAUACGCCCCGGGAAACUGGGAUUAAUACUCCAUAGUCUUUAAUGAUCACAUGAGAAAUAAAGUAAAGCUCCGGCGGUAUAAGAUGAGUGUGCGUCCCAUUAGAUAGUUGGUGAGGUAACGGCUCACCAAGUCUGCGAUGGGUAGCUGGCGUGAGAGCGCGACCAGCCACACUGGCACUGAGACACGGGCCAGACUCCUACGGGAGGCAGCAGUAGGGAAUAUUGGUCAAUGGACGAAGGUCUGAACCAGCCAUGCCGCGUGGAGGAUGACUGCCCCUNAGGGUUGUAAACUCCUUUUAUAUAGGAAGAAACCUUUGGAUUUACUCCGAAGCUGACGGUACUAUAUGAAUAAGCACCGGCUAACUCCGUG
This 483-nucleotide ribosomal RNA is filed under the name uncultured bacterium. Its description in RNAcentral is "bacterial SSU rRNA". It matches the Rfam family "Bacterial small subunit ribosomal RNA", at positions 28 to 507 of the family's 1533-position model. The record is from RNAcentral.